Triticum dicoccoides is the source of this 933-nucleotide long non-coding RNA. RefSeq lists it as uncharacterized. The record is from RefSeq and is a predicted model, not a curated record. The transcript has 3 exons. NCBI's taxonomy places the organism in Eukaryota, Viridiplantae, Streptophyta, Magnoliopsida, Poales, Poaceae.
GCCCAAUAUUUCCCCCUUCUCUCGAAGCGUCCAGGCGACAUCGAGCCAUCCUCCACCGUUGCGCCGCCGUGCUCACCCCACACCGUCCGGUCGUGCUCGCCCCCGUCCAGAUCCACCACGCAUGGUCUAUGCAGAUCGUUGCUCUCCUACACUGCCGCCUCUCCUUGCCGCCAGAGGGACAGAGAACAGGGGGAUUGAGACCGUGGAGGAAAGGCUACAGGUGUCGGCGCCGCCCAACAGGAGCCCGUGAUGGCCGGUCGGCUCGGACGACAGCGCCGGCAUCUACAUGACCUUGAUGAAGUCCGACCCCAGCUCCACCUCUGCACUGGCCAUGACACCAUGACGCCCCAGCUACCUAGGUUCUGAAACUAGACAGCCAAAAUGUCAAUACUUUAUAUGAAAGGGCUCAAGCUUACACUCAUCUUGCUAACCUGGAGUUAGAAUAGGUUGACAUUAAGAAGGCACUAGAAAUCGAUCCUGAAAACAGGCAAGUUCCAUUGAAUGGUCUAUUAUAUAAACCUUAAUUUAAUACUUAGAACUUUACACUGUCAAUUUGAUUUUGAUGUCGCCGCUACUUACUUAAUUUGAUACUAAGAAGCAUGCACUGUCAAUUUGAUUUUGAUGUCGCAGCAACUUACAGGGAUGUGAAGUUAACAUACAAUGCUGAAGGAGAAGAUCAAGGAAAUCAAUAAGGAUGCCGAUUUCUACAGCGAUAUGUUUGCCAUGAUGUUGGCUAGCUGUAGCAAAUUGUAGCUAGCUAGCCAAUUUUAGACAAACAUGCAGUGGUUGGUUAGUUUAGUUAGCCUGUUGUAGCUAAUUGUAGCUAGCUAGCCUAAUUCUGGACAAACAUGCGGUGCUGGUGAUAUUAUGGCAUCUGAUGUGUAUAUGUGAUUACUGAUAUCCGGAGUUAUCUAUAUUAAUUAUAUGAUUUGA